GAGGCACUCAGUGCAGUGCUUAUGCAGCAUGAUAAACUCUGCCAGAGGAGAGGUUGCCCUGCUGCUCAACUGUGGGACUGUAUUAGCAAAAAUGCAGCUCUCAAAGAUGUCUCUGGACAAGGAGAAUAACUUGAGGCAGAAAUUUUCUUCCUUUUUCUGAAAUAAGGUUCACUUGACUUCUGUGAUGAUUCAGAGGAAAUAUAGGACCAACACACUGGCUAGAGUUGUGUAUAAUAUUGCAAUGUCGUCUAUCCCAGAGUUGAACAUGACAUCAGAUACUGGCAAGAAAACAUUAUUAAGCAAGGUAGAAUGCUGUCACCCAACUGCAAUGCUUUUUGGGACCAGCUCUGAGGCAGUGGAUGACAACUGUUUAUGCAUCUCUGGAAGAUGAGGAAACUGCAAAAAGAACCAACAAGCUUUGCAGAUGAUUGUCUUGGUCUCAGGGGAGCAGAGGAAGAAGCACUCCAAUAGAACUAAUCAAGCUCCUGAUAUAUUUACAAAAGGAAAACUUAAGAAGCAACUUUUUGGAAUAAGAAGUUAAGGAGGACUGAUAAGACACAGGAAGACAUUCWCAGAUGAACAAACGUAGACAUGAGYGAUAAGGGCAGCUCCAGGAUCCAAGUGGAACCUUCCAUUUGUGAUCCUUUAASAAGAGAGGUUCUGUUUAAAUUCAGCAUUCUUUGUGACAAAAUGUCAUUGUGAGUGGCUUCUCUGCAAGCCAUGUAAACUAGCAAUGUCCUUGUGCUAGAAUGGUCCCACAUCCAUAAACAGUGGGCAAGAGUUAACACUCCCUUUUCAAGCUUUUGGGUUAUGCCUCUAACUGUAGUUUGAAGUAAAUUGCUCCUUGGAUAAGCAGAGGACUUGAAUCUGAAGGGCUGUCAACCUAGCACCUUUCCCAAGUAUAAAAUUCACUUAGAAAGAAAGAAAAAGAAAUCCAAUAGCUGYAAGACCUGAUAAAGUGCUAGCUAAAAAGGGAGACCCAGAGGAGUGCAAGAAUGAUUUAGCGUGAAAAAUCAUUCUCACAUGAGUACUACAUCAUGUCAACCCUGUUACUACCAAGAUGGGAACAACCAAAUAGGCAAGAACAUUUUAAAAAGAAUAAAGAAACAAAUUCCUCAGUGUGAGAACCAGUCUCAUUUCAGCUCUUACUGCUACAGCUGCUUCUAUAUAAACCAAAGUUCAGAAUUGGCUGAUUGCUACCUUAGAUGUCAUGUACUGCACCUGUGUGAGGCAGACAUGGCUAUGACAGCUUACAGUUAAACAAAAAAAAAAACCCUACCUCUUCAGAAAGAUAGUGAAUUUGUUGUCUACUGUGACAGGUAGCAUAGGAUGGAUAAAAUCUCUUCACAAAAGGCAUGCAUGGUCCAAGUUAGAAAAGAGACCCAGGUGCCUAUAUGUUAAGGCAAAUGUGCUAGUUUGUUAACAUGAAGUCAGUUGCAUUUCUCCUAUUUGGGCUGAAUGGGAAGGACUCCCAGCCUGAACUUUAGCACACUGCAGGCUGUAGACCUUGAUGCUCUAUUUCCCAUUUCUUGCGCAUUUGAAGCCAGGUAAGGCUGUAGCUAGAUGAAUCCACACAUGACUAUUCCAAUCUGUUAAACUGCAGGGACUAAGCAGAAAUGAUUCCAUGCAAAUGUGUGUGGGAAAGGAUAUAAAGGAGUUGAAACUUAGAAUCCAAGGUUAAUAUCCAGUGAACUAGUGCAAUAAGCUAAGUAUACUUGGAAAAUAAACACCUCAUUUUAAACCUUAAAUCCUGUCAACAUUGGCAUUGUUUAAAACUGGCAAAAAAAAAAAAAAGCCAGGAGUAUUCAGUUUGCUUAGCAUGAUAAAUAAGUCUUACAUGGAUUACAGAAAAUAAUUUAAAAGAAGUGACUUUCUGAUAUUACAGUAUUGUACUUAAAAGAAAAUUGCACUGUAAGUGCAUUCACCCUUUGAUUGUUCUGAAGUGGUACAAAGAGCAAAAAGGUAUAACAGCUUAACUGAAUGUCAUUCAYGUAUUUUCUUGUUUAAAAUGUGCUGAAAUUUACUUAAGUUUGGAUGUUGCUUUGUAGUAAGCACCUGCUAUCUUCUAGUAAAGCAUGACUUAUCCUUUGUUUGAUCAGUUUCUUCAAGUCUGAUGAAAAAAAAAGUUUGGUUUUAUGAAUAUAUAAAUAGGAAUUCAAGUUGAUCUGUGUUAUCAGCCUAUAGGCAGAUAUAUUUAAGAUUUAUUUUUCCUUUAAGGCCUAAUUCAGAUAUCAGUUGCUUGGCAUUAUAUUAGUUUAGUAGCUCUCAAAUUAGAUCAUAAUUACUAAUCAGUGUUUGGAAUUAAAAGCUUUUCUCUGAAUUCCAGAUUCAAAUAUACUAUAAAGAAAGAAUAACUGAAAGGAGAUGUGCCUUGCAAUAGGUCUUCAGGAGUGAAGUGACAGGAAAGACUGCCUGAGCUGCAGACUGCAGUGUAUGGAGAUACUCAGAUUUUUCCUUUUCUUGUGUUGAUGCAGAAAAUAUUUAAAUGACACCAAAUUAUCUAUGGCUUGGAAAGAUAAGGAGUCUUCCAGGUCUGCUGUUUCAGAGAGCAUCCACUAUGUAUAUGAACAAAUCCUACCUCUAACAUAUUUAAUUCAUGUUAUACUCUGUUAUGUAGUGACAACUGAAUAUUUUUGAAGAAUUGAUGCUUAUAUAAAAUGUCAGUGUAUUUCUACAGAGAAUUUUAAGCCCAAAUCUUGCCCCAAAGUCUACAUCUGAGGUAUAUUCUAUUUAUAAUUCUAUGAAAAACUCUUCAAGGGUUGUAUUUUAAGAUUACAUGAUUUUCUUCUGAGCU
Molecule: long non-coding RNA, 2794 nt
Organism: Nothoprocta perdicaria
Lineage: Eukaryota; Metazoa; Chordata; Aves; Tinamiformes; Tinamidae
Exons: 4
Source: RefSeq, a predicted model, not a curated record